This 254-nucleotide ribosomal RNA is filed under the name uncultured prokaryote. RNAcentral describes it as "partial 16S ribosomal RNA". It matches the Rfam family "Bacterial small subunit ribosomal RNA", at positions 525 to 777 of the family's 1533-position model. The record is from RNAcentral.
ACAGAGGGUGCGAGCGUUGUUCGGAAUUACUGGGCGUAAAGCGCGCGCAGGCGGCUCUCUAAGUCUACGGGUGAAAGACCGGGGCUCAACCCCGUGUCAGCCCGGGAUACUGGGGAGCUAGGGACAUGUAGGGGCGAGCGGAAUUCCGGGUGUAGCGGUGGAAUGCGUAGAUAUCAGGAGGAACACCGGUGGCGAAGGCGGCUAUCUGGACAGAAACUGACGCUGAGGCGCGAAAGCUAGGGGAGCAAACAGGA